RNAcentral lists this unclassified non-coding RNA (203 nucleotides) under Tricholoma triste. RNAcentral's name for it is "partial internal transcribed spacer 2". The record is from RNAcentral. Lineage: Eukaryota; Fungi; Basidiomycota; Agaricomycetes; Agaricales; Tricholomataceae.
AAUUCUCAACCUUUUCAACUUUUUCUGUUGAUCAGGCUUGGAUGUGGGAGUAUGCGGGCUUCUCAGAAGUCGGCUCUCCUGAAAUGCAUUAGCGGGACCUUUGUUGCCUGGCUUUGGUGUGAUAAUUAUCUACGCCAUUGUGAAGAGCAGCUUUAUAAAGGAGGUUCAGCUUCUAAUCGUCUCUUUCGAGACAACUUCUGACA